RNAcentral lists this small nuclear RNA (61 nucleotides) under Sapajus apella (tufted capuchin). Its description in RNAcentral is "Cebus apella (Tufted capuchin) U7 small nuclear RNA". It matches the Rfam family "U7 small nuclear RNA". Rfam says of the family: Animal histone pre-mRNAs are spliced by a different mechanism than nuclear pre-mRNAs and self-splicing introns. This processing involves the U7 snRNP, which contains only one RNA species: U7. The record is from Rfam by way of RNAcentral. RNAcentral also lists the same sequence under 1 other name. Lineage: Eukaryota; Metazoa; Chordata; Mammalia; Primates; Cebidae.
AAAUGUUACAGCUCUUUUAGAAUUUGUCUAGCAGGCUUUCGGUUUUUGCUGGAAAACCUCC